UACGUAGGGCGCAAGCGUUGUCCGGAAUUAUUGGGCGUAAAGAGCUCGUAGGCGGUUUGUCGCGCCUGCUGUGAAAACCUAAGGCUCAACCUUGGGCUUGCAGUGGGUACGGGCAGACUAGAGUGCGGUAGGGGUGACUGGAAUUCCUGGUGUAGCGGUGGAAUGCGCAGAUACCAGGAGGAACACCGAUGGCGAAGGCAGGUCACUGGGCCGCAACUGACGCUGAGGAGCGAAAGCAUGGGGAGCGAACAGG
RNAcentral lists this ribosomal RNA (253 nucleotides) under uncultured bacterium. RNAcentral's name for it is "partial 16S ribosomal RNA". It matches the Rfam family "Bacterial small subunit ribosomal RNA", at positions 524 to 776 of the family's 1533-position model. The record is from RNAcentral.